RNAcentral lists this ribosomal RNA (985 nucleotides) under Conoideocrella luteorostrata. RNAcentral's name for it is "SSU rRNA". It matches the Rfam family "Eukaryotic small subunit ribosomal RNA", at positions 64 to 1060 of the family's 1831-position model. The record is from RNAcentral. Lineage: Eukaryota; Fungi; Ascomycota; Sordariomycetes; Hypocreales; Clavicipitaceae.
UAUAAGCAAUUAUACGGCGAAACUGCGAAUGGCUCAUUAUAUAAGUUAUCGUCUAUUUGAUAGCACCUUUCUACUUGGAUAACCGUGGUAAUUCUAGAGCUAAUACAUGCUAAAAAUCCCGACUUCGGAAGGGAUGUAUUUAUUAGAUUAAAAACCAAUGCCCUCUGGGCUCUCUGGUGAUUCAUGAUAACUUGGCGAAUCGCAUGGCCUUGCGCUGGCGAUGGUUCAUUCAAAUUUCUUCCCUAUCAACUUUCGAUGUUUGGGUAGUGGCCAAACAUGGUUACAACGGGUAACGGAGGGUUAGGGCUCGACCCCGGAGAAGGAGCCUGAGAAACGGCUACUACAUCCAAGGAAGGCAGCAGGCGCGCAAAUUACCCAAUCCCGAUUCGGGGAGGUAGUGACAAUAAAUACUGAUACAGGGCUCUUUUGGGUCUUGUAAUUGGAAUGAGUACAAUUUAAAUCCCUUAACGAGGAACAAUUGGAGGGCAAGUCUGGUGCCAGCAGCCGCGGUAAUUCCAGCUCCAAUAGCGUAUAUUAAAGUUGUUGUGGUUAAAAAGCUCGUAGUUGAACCUUGGGCCUGGCUGGCCGGUCCGCCUCACCGCGUGUACUGGUCCGGCCGGGUCUUUCCCUCUGUGGAACCCCAUGCCCUUCACUGGGUGUGGCGGGGAAACAGGACUUUUACUUUGAAAAAAUUAGAGUGCUCCAGGCAGGCCUAUGCUCGAAUACAUUAGCAUGGAAUAAUGAAAUAGGACGUGCGGUUCUAUUUUGUUGGUUUCUAGGACCGCCGUAAUGAUUAAUAGGGACAGUCGGGGGCAUCAGUAUUCAAUUGUCAGAGGUGAAAUUCUUGGAUUUAUUGAAGACUAACUACUGCGAAAGCAUUUGCCAAGGAUGUUUUCAUUAAUCAGGAACGAAAGUUAGGGGAUCGAAGACGAUCAGAUACCGUCGUAGUCUUAACCAUAAACUAUGCCGACUAGGGAUCGGACGA